RNAcentral lists this ribosomal RNA (412 nucleotides) under uncultured bacterium. RNAcentral describes it as "bacterial SSU rRNA". It matches the Rfam family "Bacterial small subunit ribosomal RNA", at positions 365 to 774 of the family's 1533-position model. The record is from RNAcentral.
UGGACAAUGGAGGCAACUCUGAUCCAGCCAUGCCGCGUGAAGGAAUAAGGCCCUAUGGGUUGUAAACUUCUUUUAGACGGGACAAAACCCCUUUACGUGUAAAGGGUUGAUGGUACUGUCAGAAUAAGCAUCGGCUAACUUCGUGCCAGCAGCCGCGGUAAUACGAAGGAUGCAAGCGUUAUCCGGAAUUAUUGGGUUUAAAGGGUGCGAAGGCGGACUAAUAAGUCAGUGGUGAAAGCCUGCAGCUUAACUGCAGAAUUGCCAUUGAUACUGUUAGUCUUGAGUUCAGUUGAGGUAGGCGGAAUGUGUCAUGUAGCGGUGAAGUGCUUAGAUAUGACACGGAACACCGAUUGCGAAGGCAGCUUGCUAGGCUGUAACUGACGCUGAGGCACGAAAGCGUGGGGAGCAAACA